UUCUGGAGUAACUAUGACGCUCCAGACUACAGGAGAAAGAGAAGGUGAGGGUAUGGAGCCGCUCACUUGUUUUUAGUGUGGGGAUAUUUUUCAUAAGAGAAAGUGUUUCAAUUUGCUUUCAAUAACUGUUUUAGAAAUGCAAAGCAAAGGUACAUUGGUCAUAGAGGAGCACUUUCAUUCAACCAAAGGCUCUUUUGUGGGCACUGGCAAUACAAAGAUGAAGAGAAAAAUUUGUCCUCACAGCCUCAUGUUGAGAGAUGUAGAAGCUACACAGGACACAUGUGGAGCAAGGCUUCCAAGGAAGCAAAGAUGAGCCUGCCACCCCCGCUGCCUUAGAUGGUGACCUUCUCUGGAUGAGAAAAGCAAGGUUCAUGGAGUCUCAUCUAUAAGUAUGCUAGAUCCAGUGUUUAAGCUCAGAUUCAACUCAACCUUAGGUCUUUAUCAGACUAUUAACAGCAGGAAAAGAUUUGCUGAGAUGACAGCUAACUAAUCCUUCUUAUUUAUAAAGGACAAAACCAAGAAUACAAUAAUCAGUGAAAGAACAACUACAACAAAGUAACCACAGUGAAUCCAAAUGUAAAGGAUGCUUAUUCAACACCACGAUGAAACAGCAGCCACAGCGGAACCUGUCUGCCCACCUUCCAACAGUAUUUAUCUAUCCUCUUGGCAAAACACAUUCAAUUUCAGAAAAUAAAUAGAU
Long non-coding RNA from Talpa occidentalis (Iberian mole), 700 nucleotides. RefSeq lists it as uncharacterized. The record is from RefSeq and is a predicted model, not a curated record. The transcript has 5 exons. NCBI's taxonomy places the organism in Eukaryota, Metazoa, Chordata, Mammalia, Eulipotyphla, Talpidae.